Molecule: small nucleolar RNA, 126 nt
Organism: Otolemur garnettii (small-eared galago)
Lineage: Eukaryota; Metazoa; Chordata; Mammalia; Primates; Galagidae
Source: Ensembl
GGCCUCCUGGUGCUUCCCACAGGCCGUGUUCUCACAUGGCUACAGAAGAGCAGGCAGAGUAAACCACCCCACACAUGCCACAGCCCUGGCCCGGGCCUGGUCUGUCCUGUGAAUGGGGGUACAUGG